AGCAGAUCUGGAUACCGGGCGCUUCAUAUAGGACCACUGGAUACUGAAAGGUGCUUUAUCUGUUGAUGUCUUUAAGGUUUCUUGGAAGGUUCCUUCUGGAAUAUCAGGAUGAUGCUAAACACAGAAGUCUCAUGGAAUAAAGUUUUAACAGACAACAAUAUCAAAGGCCUCUUUGACUGCUUACGAGGCCUCUAUACUGAAGGUGAAGGGGAUGCGAGUGAACGUGUGGCCAGUUUUAACAGCUGGCUUGAGAGAUCAGCAGAACUGGCCAAGAAGGAGCUGUUAAUGCUCUGUGAGUAGGUGAAAUCUUAUUAAACAUUGAGGUUUACCUUU
Sinocyclocheilus grahami is the source of this 333-nucleotide long non-coding RNA. The record is from Ensembl. NCBI's taxonomy places the organism in Eukaryota, Metazoa, Chordata, Actinopteri, Cypriniformes, Cyprinidae.